This 253-nucleotide ribosomal RNA is filed under the name uncultured bacterium. RNAcentral's name for it is "partial 16S ribosomal RNA". It matches the Rfam family "Bacterial small subunit ribosomal RNA", at positions 524 to 776 of the family's 1533-position model. The record is from RNAcentral.
UACGUGGGGGGCAAGCGUUGUUCGGAAUUACUGGGCGUAAAGGGUUUGUAGGUGGCUUGCUAAGUCAGACGUGAAAUCCCUCAGCUUAACUGGGGAACUGCAUUGAAAACUGGUGGGCUUGAGUCCGGGAGAGGGUCGCGGAAUUCCGGGUGUAGCGGUGAAAUGCGUAGAUAUCCGGAGGAACACCGGUGGCGAAGGCGGCUUCCUGGACCGACACUGACGCUGAGGCGCGAAAGCUAGGGGAGCAAACGGG